ACGAAAUGUUUGUCGAGAGGGGUUGUAGCUGGCCUCGCCUGGCAAGUGCACGCCCGGAUCGCAAAUCUCUCACCCUUCACAUCUGUGCACAUAUCCCGCAGCUUUGCGACGCAGACGAGAGAUGGAUUUAUUCUGAUUCGGAUGCGUCUUGAGCUUGCGAGCUUUUUAUCACACACAAUCUUUAUCAAGUACCAGAAUGUCGCAGCGCGUAGAGCGCGAAAUAAAUA
This 227-nucleotide unclassified non-coding RNA is filed under the name uncultured Thelephorales. RNAcentral describes it as "sequence contains ITS1". The record is from RNAcentral. Lineage: Eukaryota; Fungi; Basidiomycota; Agaricomycetes; Thelephorales.